RNAcentral lists this long non-coding RNA (892 nucleotides) under Setaria italica (foxtail millet). RNAcentral describes it as "long non-coding RNA (SITA_LNC000255)". Lineage: Eukaryota; Viridiplantae; Streptophyta; Magnoliopsida; Poales; Poaceae. The record is from RNAcentral.
CCCACUCUCUCUUGGUCUCUUUUCCCGGCGAGCGCCGCCGUCAUCAACGGCCGACCUCUCCGGUGAACGAUCCACGCCGUCAGCGGCACUCGGUGAGCCCAUCUUCUCCUCCUAGACCACUGGCGCUCGCUUCCUGCUUUAGGCCCCAACACACCUCGUCCAUAAAGUAUUGUUUUCACUCGUUUGAAAUAGCAUGCAUGUCCAAAAGUUUCUUGUUAAUUUGUUGACUAUACACUCAUGUAUAGGCAGCUUUACGGGAGGAGAAGAAGAAUGCAUGUAGCCAUGUAAUCCCUCCAUUUUAAAUUGUAGGUCGUUUUAGUUUUUCUAAAUUCGUAGAUAUUAUUAGAAAUCUAGACAUAAAUAUUUAGGUGUAUAGACUAUGCAUCUAGAAAAAACUAAAACGACAUAUAAUUUAGAACGGAGGGAGUAGGUGUUUGGCAACCGCUUGCUAGAUGUGUCUCAAGUCAAGGGGUGUCCAUUAGACCAUUUAGGCAUGUAUGUGUGUUAAGUGGUGCAUGCACAGUCUAGCUUAAUUUAAUUAAUUGCAACAACUAUAUAUAGAUUCAGGCAUUCAGUCCUCCAUGCUAAUCCAAUGCGAUUUCCGAUUGUUCCUGCCUCUCGCUGUGCUUACUAAGUAAGGUGUUCCUGCUUGAUAUCUCAGUUGCAGAAUGCACAAGUCCACCAAACCGUGCAAGCAUGGUAAGCACAAGAAAAAGAUGAGAAAAUUGGAGAAAGAGGCAUCAGAAGCUGUUACAGCAAGUCGGUAAACCUCAAGCCCGGCGGGUUUCGAUCUCUUCCCUCCAGAAAAGGCUUCCAAACUAAUUAUACUAUUUAUUUUUAUAGGUCCCCGAUCUGCUCGCCGUGACGUUUUCUGCACGUUCCAUCACGAAGC